Molecule: ribosomal RNA, 596 nt
Filed under: uncultured bacterium
Lineage: Bacteria
Description: bacterial SSU rRNA
Rfam family: Bacterial small subunit ribosomal RNA
Source: RNAcentral
AGAGUCACUCCUACGGGAGGCAGCAGUGGGGAAUUGUUCGCAAUGGGCGCAAGCCUGACGACGCAACGCCGCGUGGAGGAUGAAGAUCUUCGGGUCGUAAACUCCUUUCGAUUGGGAAGAAUUCCUUUGUGAUGAACAAUCCGCGUGGAUGACGGUACCUGCAGAAGCAGCUGCGGCUAACUUCGUGCCAGCAGCCGCGGUAAUACGAAGGGGGCGAGCGUUGUUCGGAAUUACUGGGCGUAAAGCGCGUGUAGGCGGUUGUCCAAGUUGGAUGUGAAAGCCCCGGGCUUAACCUGGGAGGUGCGCUUGGGACUGGGUGGCUAGAGAUCGGGAGAGGAGAGUGGAAUUCCCAGUGUAGAGGUGAAAUUCGUAGAUAUUGGGAAGAACACCGGUGGCGAAGGCGGCUCUCUGGACCGAUACUGACGCUGAGGAGCGAAAGCCAGGGGAGCAAACGGGAUUAGAUACCCCGGUAGUCCUAGCCCUAAACUAUGGAUGCUUGGUGUGAUGGGUACCCAAUCCCAUCGUGCCGAAGCUAACGCGAUAAGCAUCCCGCCUGGGGAGUACGGUCGCAAGGCUGAAACUUAAAGGAAUUGACG